This 75-nucleotide transfer RNA is filed under the name Candidatus Calescibacteriota bacterium. RNAcentral's name for it is "Candidatus Calescamantes bacterium (hot springs metagenome) tRNA-Ala". It matches the Rfam family "tRNA". Rfam says of the family: Transfer RNA (tRNA) molecules are approximately 80 nucleotides in length. Their secondary structure includes four short double-helical elements and three loops (D, anti-codon, and T loops). Further hydrogen bonds mediate the characteristic L-shaped molecular structure. tRNAs have two regions of fundamental functional importance: the anti-codon, which is responsible for specific mRNA codon recognition, and the 3' end, to which the tRNAs corresponding amino acid is attached (by aminoacyl-tRNA synthetases). tRNAs cope with the degeneracy of the genetic code in two manners: having more than one tRNA (with a specific anti-codon) for a particular amino acid; and 'wobble' base-pairing, i.e. permitting non-standard base-pairing at the 3rd anti-codon position. Lineage: Bacteria; Candidatus Calescibacteriota. The record is from RNAcentral.
GGGGACGUAGCUCAGCGGGAGAGCGCCCGGUUUGCACCCGGGAGGGCACGGGUUCAAAUCCCGUCGUCUCCACAA